Molecule: ribosomal RNA, 377 nt
Filed under: uncultured organism
Description: partial 16S ribosomal RNA
Rfam family: Bacterial small subunit ribosomal RNA
Source: RNAcentral
GUAGGGUGCGAGCGUUAUCCGGAAUCAUUGGGCGUAAAGAGCUCGUAGGCGGUUCAGCAAGUCGGCUGUGAAAUUCCGAGGCUCAACCUCGGAACUGCAGUCGAUACUGCUGUGACUCGAGUCCGGUAGAGGAGAAUGGAAUUCCCGGUGUAGCGGUGAAAUGCGCAGAUAUCGGGAGGAACACCAGUAGCGAAGGCGGUUCUCUGGGCCGGCACUGACGCUGAGGAGCGAAAGCGUGGGUAGCAAACAGGAUUAGAUACCCUGGUAGUCCCACGCCCGUAAACGUUGGAUACUAGGUGUGGCGCUCCGACCAACGGUCGCCGUGCCGAAGCUAACGCAUUAAGUAUCCCCGCCUGGGGAGUACGGCCGCAAGGCUA